UUCCAGACUCCUACGGGAGGCAGCAGUGGGGGAUAUUGCACAAUGGGGGGAACCCUGAUGCAGCGACGCCGCGUGAGUGAAGAAGUAUUUCGGUAUGUAAAGCUCUAUCAGCAGGGAAGAAAGAGACGAAAGUCUUGUGACGGUACCUGACUAAGAAGCCCCGGCUAACUACGUGCCAGCAGCCGCGGUAACACGUAGGGGGCAAGCGUUAUCCGGAUUUACUGGGUGUAAAGGGAGCGUAGGCGGCAGUGCAAGUCAGAAGUGAAAGCCCGGGGCUCAACUCCGGGACUGCUUUUGAAACUGUACAGCUUGAUUGCAGGAGAGGCAAGUGGAAUUCCUAGUGUAGCGGUGAAAUGCGUAGAUAUUAGGAGGAACACCAGUGGCGAAGGCGGCUUGCUGGACUGUAAAUGACGCUGAGGCUCGAAAGCGUGGGGAGCAAACAGGAUUAGAUACCCCAGUA
RNAcentral lists this ribosomal RNA (460 nucleotides) under uncultured bacterium. Its description in RNAcentral is "partial 16S ribosomal RNA". It matches the Rfam family "Bacterial small subunit ribosomal RNA", at positions 329 to 792 of the family's 1533-position model. The record is from RNAcentral.